AGCGAACGCUGGCGGCAGGCUUAACACAUGCAAGUCGAGCGGGCGUAGCAAUACGUCAGCGGCAGACGGGUGAGUAACGCGUGGGAACAUACCUUUUGGUUCGGAACAACACAGGGAAACUUGUGCUAAUACCGGAUAAGCCCUUACGGGGAAAGAUUUAUCGCCGAAAGAUUGGCCCGCGUCUGAUUAGCUAGUUGGUGAGGUAACGGCUCACCAAGGCGACGAUCAGUAGCUGGCUGAGAGGAUGAUCAGCCACAUUGGGACUGAGACACGGCCCAAACUCCUACGGGAGGCAGCAGUGGGGGAAUAUUGGACAAUGGGCGCAAGCCUGAUCCAGCCAUGCCGCGUGAGUGAUGAAGGCCCUAGGGUUGUAAAGCUCUUUUGUGCGGGAAGAUAAUGACGUACGCAAGAAUAGCCCCGCUAACUUCGUGCCAGCCGCCGCAGUAAC
RNAcentral lists this ribosomal RNA (448 nucleotides) under uncultured bacterium. RNAcentral's name for it is "bacterial SSU rRNA". It matches the Rfam family "Bacterial small subunit ribosomal RNA", at positions 29 to 524 of the family's 1533-position model. The record is from RNAcentral.